RNAcentral lists this ribosomal RNA (442 nucleotides) under uncultured bacterium. RNAcentral's name for it is "bacterial SSU rRNA". It matches the Rfam family "Bacterial small subunit ribosomal RNA", at positions 340 to 774 of the family's 1533-position model. The record is from RNAcentral.
UACGGAAGGCAGCAGUGGGGAAUAUUGCACAAUGGGCGCAAGCCUGAUGCAGCCAUGCCGCGUGUAUGAAGAAGGCCUUCGGGUUGUAAAGUACUUUCAGUCGUGAGGAAGGUGUUAAGGUUAAUAACCUUAGCAAUUGACGUUAGCGACAGAAGAAGCACCGGCUAACUCCGUGCCAGCAGCCGCGGUAAUACGGAGGGUGCGAGCGUUAAUCGGAAUUACUGGGCGUAAAGGGCACGCAGGCGGUUAAUUAAGUUGGAUGUGAAAUCCCCGGGCUUAACCUGGGAAUGGCAUUCAAGACUGGUUAGCUAGAGUCUUGUAGAGGGGGUUAGAAUUCCAUGUGUAGCGGUGAAAUGCGUAGAGAUGUGGAGGAAUACCGGUGGCGAAGGCGGCCCCUGGACAAAGGACUGACGCUCAUGUGCGAAAGCGUGGGGAGCAAAAC